GGUAAGACCCAAAUUCAGUCUGUAUGUUUUUUUUAUAGCUGUAUCACGCACUGAGAACUCAUUUCCCAAAUCUUUAUCAAUGCUCUAAAUGGCUCCUAGUCACAAAAUGAGAGUAGACACUUAACCACUUGGAGGUCAUGCAAGCAUUCAUGUGCUUUAAGUUCAAAUUUUGGUACUUCAGGGGUUCUGAACACCUGCUGCUCUUCCUAGCUGGUAUGGGAGCUGUAGGAACUCAUAUGCUUGUGAAGAUCAGACCCCUCAUCUCGAGGUGCUCUUAUUCACAGUGGGGAAGUGAGUAGUCCUUUGCUCCGUUUUCAGUUUUUGUAACAUUUUAAUGUAACUCAACAAACUGAUAGUGCACUGAUAUUGAACUGGUUUCAGCUGGCUGGUGCAGUGCUCUGUUUUGGAUUUAGUAUGAGAAUUAUGUUGAUAACACACUGAUGUUUUAGUUGUUGCUAAGUAGUGCUUACUCUGAAUCAAGGACUUUUCACUGUCUCAUGCUCUGCCAGUGGGCAAGUGCACAAGAAUCUGGAGGGAGCAUGGCCAGGACAGUUGACCUGAAGUAGCCAAAGGGAUAUUCCAUACCACAGAACUGCCCAGUGUAUAAACUGCUGGAGUUUGGCUGGGAGCUGAUAUCAGUGCUUGGGGGUAGGCUGAGCAGUGUGUGGUGAACAAAUGUAUUGAGCAUCACAUGUUUCUGCUGGGUUUUAUUUACACACCCCUUAGCUCCCCAGUGUUUUUCCUUACAAUUGUUAUUAUCUUAAUAUUUUCUUUUGUUUCAAUCAUUGCUCAUCUCAACAGAAGAGGUUUACUUUUUCUUCUAAUUCACCUCACCAUCCGUGCAGGUGGGGAAGUGAGCAAGUGGCUGUGUGGUACUUGAUUGCCACCUGGGGUUAAACUGUGAGAGACAGAGACACUUUCAACAGAGCACUGCUGAGUACUUAUGAGUUCAGACAGGUCAGAACUGCUUUGUUUGCUGGGCAGCUUUUCUUUCCUAUUUUCUUUCCCCAAAGAUACUCAGGGACUGAACUCCUGAGCUUUCUAAAUUAUCACUGAUGGAGAAGCAGGACCUCAGCAGCAGUUGGGCUAAGGUAGUCAGCUUCUAGAUGUAGCUCUCACACUUUGGCAACUUAGUUGAGAAGAGCUAGAGUGAUGCUCAGAAAAAAAAAUUAAUAUCAAAUAAUCAGUGAUCUUGUGUGCAUGUAUUUUGGUUAUUCAUGUGCCAAAUUUUCCUGGUGAACUAGCAUAGAAAAGUGCAAGGGGCAUGGCUGAGUACAAAGUUUUAUGGGUGUCUUGAACUACAGCUCACAGACUUGAGCUACACAAGUUAUUGUGAGUGAAAUUUACAAUAUAAUGGCUCACCUUUGCACAAGAGUUAAUUUUAUAUAGUAUGAUCAUAUGUCAACAAAAAAAGCCCCAAAACAUUGGACUGAUGGUGGAACGCAAAUAUUGUGUGACUCUGAAUCUCACUUGGUAUUUUAAACCAUGAGAGUUUAGAUCUGAGUCAUCGUAACUUGUAAGUAGGAGAUAUAUAUAUAUGUGUCUGCAUAUAUAGCAUGCAGGCUAUAAACAAGGCUUCUGUCUUGGGGUCAUUUUCCCCUCAAAUUGCAGAUUUCAUUCUCUGUUAAUCAUUAUAGCCUUAAUCAAAAGUCAGAAGUCAGCUUAGUUCCUUCCAAAGUUUGAAAACAAACCUGGACUAGAAAUCUUUACAGGCUACUACUUUCUUCUCUGUUUCACCCCUUUGAUUUUCAGAGCCCUUGGGCCAUCAGACCACGUUACACUUUUCUUACACCCCUGCUUCUCCACAGUGCUUCCUGCAUGAAGCUGGUGUUAGAAUUUGCCCAACCUCUAAUUUGUCCCAGCAGAGCACUCUAAUCUUGCAUUAGAAGCAGAAAAAAUUGUUAGCACUGCUAAAAGAACAUCUUUAACCCAAGAUCUUUAUUGGACAGCUCCUGUAGUUAAAGCAAGAGAUGGAGAAGAUGGCACACAAUUGCCUGCUAGUAGCCCCAGGGGCACAUGUGGGGAAAAGUUUUUUUCUUCCUUUUUACCUUUUAACUCAUCACUUGACUUUAAACAUGCAUCUAGCCAAGCUAUGCAGAGAGUGACUUGCUGAACAGAAGACUGUAAGGUAGGAUUAGAGGCUCUGUUUAAGAAAAAAUCUGCUUCAGUCUAGAGAACAAUCCCACCACAAAAUAAAAUUAACUUUAAAAGUAAUGAGAUUUUCCACUGUUAACUUAAUAGCAGCAAACCACAUGUUCUAAACAAUGUUCUAAUUUUCUUUUUUUUUUUUUUUAUAAGGACUCAUUUUUAGUAACAAACCCCAGACUAUUAGCCCUGCCAUUUUUCCACUGCUGGAGGAAAAUAUGGACUCCUGCUGAUCUGUAUGAUUGGUUAUUCAUACUUCCUGGCAGUGGUUAUAAGAGGAGGAUGACUGAGAAUUUAGUAGGUGAGUUAAUCUCAUUUUUACUGUGUCUCAAGAGCCACCCACUUUCCCUUCAUAUGACUCGAUACCAGAAAAUUCUUACAAGUUUUGCAGAGUGAGACCAAAAUUUUGACCUUCUUCUUUUCUGCCCUGUUUUUGUUGCUCCCCUUUAUUCUUCUGUACAUUUCUCAUUUUCCAGCCCCUCUCACCAGCCCAACACUCAGCUCACCUCCACAUAUGCCUUCUCCCUGCAGAUGCUUGGUGGAAUUGCCCAGGGGGCAUUUGAGGUCAGGGAGUCAAGAACACCAGCAGAGAGUGGUUAGCUGGCUGCUGACUCAAAGGGAUGAAGCCCUGAGGUCCCCAGCAAAACCCCAUCUGUAGGUCUAUGCCCUGAAAAUGAGCUCCUAAUGUCCAUAAGGAAUCACGCGAACAUCAGAGCUGCCGAGAGCAGGUGGAUUUGUGUAACAGGGCUUCCACAUCUUGAGGUGUCCAUGCAGACCUAGUCCCCUGACUGAGCAAGAUGGGACGGGGAAAGCUGCAGACUCAGACGUCUCAUGGCAAAGGAGGUUUCACCCUGUCCCUGCUCGAGUCACUGCUCUGGUUGGCCUGAGUCCUUGACGCUCUUCUUGUGCUACAGAGAAGUGACUCAGAGGAACAUGGAGACACAGCCGACACUUGUAAGAAGUGGUUUUAAUAAGAGGAGACAAGUCAUCAUCCCAGCUGUGCAAUCCUUGCUGAAGUCAAAGGGUCGGGAAAGAAAGGCCCCAUUUGUCCUGAGGAGCAGCACACACAUGUAUACCGAAGGAGGAUAGUGAUGUAUUUAGACUAGAAGUUCCCCAGACCUAAACGAGACAUUUGUUUGCUUAACUUCAUUGUUCUUCCCUUCUCUCAGCACUUGUCCUCAGCUGGCUGCAGCAAUCCCUGUGGAGCUCUGCAGUGGCAUCCACCUUGAAACCAGGGGAAAGAAAGUUCCUGCUCCCCAAACCCUCUCCUGCUCCCAAGUGCUGGCAGAAAACCUCUCCGAGCUGCCCUGUACAAGCUGGCCACAGGGCACAGGGCAGCACCGAAGGCAGGAGGACUCAGACACUGUUGUCUCUAUUUGCUGCAUUGUGCAGAGACUUCUUAAUGUGACUAAUAGCUCUUGGCAUUGAGCUGUUGCUCCUGAAGUGCAGAGCUGGCAUGUCCAUGCGCCAAUGUUUAAAGUAAUGUGUCAGAAAAGUUUUAUAGUAGCAGCCCAGUAUUGUUGGGGGAGAAGAAGCCUGUUUAAAU
Prinia subflava (tawny-flanked prinia) is the source of this 3691-nucleotide long non-coding RNA. RefSeq lists it as uncharacterized. NCBI's taxonomy places the organism in Eukaryota, Metazoa, Chordata, Aves, Passeriformes, Cisticolidae. The record is from RefSeq and is a predicted model, not a curated record. The transcript has 4 exons.